This is a long non-coding RNA of Cynoglossus semilaevis (tongue sole), 652 nucleotides long. RefSeq lists it as uncharacterized. The transcript has 2 exons. Lineage: Eukaryota; Metazoa; Chordata; Actinopteri; Pleuronectiformes; Cynoglossidae. The record is from RefSeq and is a predicted model, not a curated record.
AAAAGGAGAAAAACGACGCCGAAACACGAACCAUCCGCUAAAUAUAACGAUUCAGCUGCGGAUGAACCGAGGCUGACGCCGCCGCUGCUGCCGCUCGUGGUGUAAUGUUGUUGCUGGUGACUGGUACAUUUUCCAGGACUUUCUGGCUCCAACAGGACAUAUGAGACAAGCCUCUAAACCAGGGUUGCAGGCAGCACUGACCGAGCCUGAGGAUCUUUUACUGUAUCUUUAAGGAUGGUUGCCAUAGAGACCCAGGAAUCUGGCCAACUAUCCCAGGAAGAGUUUUGGACCACUGCAAAGGAUCUUGCUUCCUGUAACACAGGAAACUACAUAAAAGAGGAUUAUGGAUAUUUGCUGAGUAUGGUGCAUUUAUUGGUACUAUGUAGUGCAGAGGCUCUAAAGAUACUGUAUUUAUUCAUGUUUCCUAACAAGUCCUGGACCAAAAUUCACAUGGACUCUCCAAAAACUGUGUCAGAGUUGAAGGUUUUCUUGCAUAUUUCUUUGAAAAGUUUACAGUUGGCAACUGUAGAAAGAAGCAUAAUCUCAUUUAACAUGUUUAACUGUGCUUUAUUCAAUAUCAGCAGGGUUAGAAACGGAACAAUACUUGGAAAGUGCACAAAUGUAAACAGCUUCAAACACAGCUUAAACCUUU